AGCGUAGGCGGGUUGUUAAGUCAGUUGUGAAAGUUUGCGGCUCAACCGUAAAAUUGCAGUUGAUACUGGCGACCUUGAGUGCAACAGAGGUAGGCGGAAUUCGUGGUGUAGCGGUGAAAUGCUUAGAUAUCACGAAGAACUCCGAUUGCGAAGGCAGCUUACUGGAUUGUAACUGACGCUGGUGCUCGAAAGUGUGGGUAUCAAAC
Molecule: ribosomal RNA, 206 nt
Filed under: uncultured bacterium
Lineage: Bacteria
Description: partial 16S ribosomal RNA
Rfam family: Bacterial small subunit ribosomal RNA
Source: RNAcentral